AGGCCAAUCUUAUCUGUCUCCAUGACAAGUAGUAUAGAAUCAUGAGUCAAGAAUUCAUGAAGAGAUUGACCAUAUUCACACCAUCACUAAGUUCAAGUUUCAAUUGAUAUUAAGAAUCAAAGAUAUGAUGAGCUACACAUUUUCAACAUAUAAAUCAAAGAAGACAACAAACAAUCACACUACUAACAAGAAUAAAGAGUGGACUUUGAAACUUCAUUUUUAAAGAAAAAUUAGGCAAAAAGAAAGCCAAA
Molecule: long non-coding RNA, 251 nt
Filed under: Capsicum annuum
Lineage: Eukaryota; Viridiplantae; Streptophyta; Magnoliopsida; Solanales; Solanaceae
Description: long non-coding RNA (CANN_LNC014475)
Source: RNAcentral